Molecule: ribosomal RNA, 208 nt
Filed under: Enterobacter hormaechei
Lineage: Bacteria; Pseudomonadati; Pseudomonadota; Gammaproteobacteria; Enterobacterales; Enterobacteriaceae
Also listed under: 1 other name
Description: partial 23S ribosomal RNA
Rfam family: Bacterial large subunit ribosomal RNA
Source: RNAcentral
CGACACACUAUCGUUAACUGAAUACAUAGGUUAACGAGGCGAACCGGGGGAACUGAAACAUCUAAGUACCCCGAGGAAAAGAAAUCAACCGAGAUUCCCCCAGUAGCGGCGAGCGAACGGGGAGCAGCCCGGAGUCUGAAUCAGCUUGUGUGUUAGUGGAACGGUCUGGAAAGUCCGACGGUACAGGGUGAUAGUCCCGUACACGAAA